UAAUGUCUGGGAAACUGCCUGAUGGAGGGGGAUAACUGCUGGAAACGGUAGCUAAUACCGCAUAACGUCGCAAGACCAAAGAGGGGACCUUCGGGCCUCAUGCCAUCAGAUGUGCCCAGAUGGGAUUAGCUAGUAGGUGGGGUAACGGCUCACCUAGGCGACGAUCCCUAGCUGGUCUGAGAGGAUGACCAGCCACACUGGAACUGAGACACGGUCCAG
RNAcentral lists this ribosomal RNA (219 nucleotides) under uncultured bacterium. RNAcentral describes it as "partial 16S ribosomal RNA". It matches the Rfam family "Bacterial small subunit ribosomal RNA", at positions 111 to 334 of the family's 1533-position model. The record is from RNAcentral.